Molecule: ribosomal RNA, 109 nt
Filed under: Cavia porcellus (domestic guinea pig)
Lineage: Eukaryota; Metazoa; Chordata; Mammalia; Rodentia; Caviidae
Source: RNAcentral
GUCUACGGCCAUACCACCCUGAACACGCCUGAUCUCGUCUGAUCUCGGAAGCUAAGCAGGGUCGGGCCUGGUUAGUACUUGGAUGGGAAGAACCUUUACACCUCACUCA